This 497-nucleotide ribosomal RNA is filed under the name uncultured bacterium. RNAcentral describes it as "partial 16S ribosomal RNA". It matches the Rfam family "Bacterial small subunit ribosomal RNA", at positions 28 to 507 of the family's 1533-position model. The record is from RNAcentral.
GAUGAACGCUGGCGGCGUGCCUAAUACAUGCAAGUCGAGCGAACAGACGAGGAGCUUGCUCCUCUGACGUUAGCGGCGGACGGGUGAGUAACACGUGGAUAACCUACCUAUAAGACUGGGAUAACUUCGGGAAACCGGAGCUAAUACCGGAUAAUAUAUUGAACCGCAUGGUUCAAUAGUGAAAGACGGUUUUGCUGUCACUUAUAGAUGGAUCCGCGCCGCAUUAGCUAGUUGGUAAGGUAACGGCUUACCAAGGCAACGAUGCGUAGCCGACCUGAGAGGGGGAUCGGCCACACGGGAACAGAGACCCGGUCCAGACUCCUACGGGAGGCAGCAGUAGGAAAUCUUCCGAAAUGGGCGAAAGCCUGACGGAGAAACGCCGCGUGAGUGAUGAAGGUUUUCGGAUCGUAAAACUCUGUUAUUAGGGAAGAACAAAUGUGUAAGUAACUAUGCACGUCUGGAAGGUACCUAAUCAGAAAGCCACGGCUAACUACGAG